RNAcentral lists this transfer RNA (74 nucleotides) under Coraliomargarita sp. CAG:312. It matches the Rfam family "tRNA". Rfam says of the family: Transfer RNA (tRNA) molecules are approximately 80 nucleotides in length. Their secondary structure includes four short double-helical elements and three loops (D, anti-codon, and T loops). Further hydrogen bonds mediate the characteristic L-shaped molecular structure. tRNAs have two regions of fundamental functional importance: the anti-codon, which is responsible for specific mRNA codon recognition, and the 3' end, to which the tRNAs corresponding amino acid is attached (by aminoacyl-tRNA synthetases). tRNAs cope with the degeneracy of the genetic code in two manners: having more than one tRNA (with a specific anti-codon) for a particular amino acid; and 'wobble' base-pairing, i.e. permitting non-standard base-pairing at the 3rd anti-codon position. The record is from Rfam by way of RNAcentral. Lineage: Bacteria; Pseudomonadati; Verrucomicrobiota; Opitutia; Puniceicoccales; Coraliomargaritaceae.
GUCCCUAUCGUCUAGCCCGGUCAGGACAUUGGAUUUUCAUUCCAAGAACCGGGGUUCGAAUCCCCGUGGGGACG